AGAAAAGAACUUGUAUUUGGUGGGGCUGGAGGCGCAGAGCUCGGGUCUGUGUAUGCCGCGGGAGGGCUGGCGAGGCUGGCAACUGCCGCGGGCAGAAACCAGGCAGCGGCUUGUCCCCCCCUGGGACUGGCAAGGGCGCCCUUGGCACCUCCGGCUCGGGCUCGGCCACCGAUAGAGACUGCCACACAGGCUUUCGGGCUCCACCGGCUGCCGCUCCGUGUUUUCCCCCAUCCCGGUUUCACGUUCAAGGUUUAGCUGCGAGGUCACGUCCAUUGACGUCAGCUCCCUGUCUCCCUCUACGUCCGGCUACAUUUACAUACAUCAAGGAAAUUAGGGCAUUAAAAAAAUAUGCAAAUCCUGCGCGAAGAGGAGAGGGUGCAUUCCUGGAGCGACCGCCUUUUAUUGAAGCUUUUAAUUAAAGGGGCCAGUUGGCUAGCCCCUGAAACAACCGCCAAAAUCCCCCAAAAGAGAAAAAUAAACGCUGUAGCCUUCGGGAACGGUUGUUUCGGCUCCUGUUCUGUGGGCGGCUGAGGACGGCCGGCUGCCCUGCUCCGAGAACAGAAUGAAGGUUUCUUCAUAUCUUCUGGCCGGCACCACACAGUACUUGCUUGCUUGGGUGUACAGAGCCAUGAGGUGAUGAUGGACCAUGGAGGAGCAAAAUUCAAGGCAAAAGACAAGCAUUCCGACUCUCUUAUUCUCUGUUUUGAAGUUUAACAUCAUGUUGCAUGGAACUGAUAAGAAUGUGGUUUAAGAACUUCAACUGCACAGUAUUCAAAACUCAUUCAUUGCCCUGGAGUAAUAAUAACAUCACCGUUGAAGUAGCUGAUUUAUUUGAUGUUCCUGCGGAGUGGGGCAAGAAGAGGACAUUGGAUUUUCUGGAGCUAGCCUUACAGUGAGAUGCCGGUCUCGAAUGGGAAGGCAGUCUGUCUGGGUUUCAGCACAGUUUUCUUCAGUGAGAAUGCAAAGACUUCCUGGCUGGCCUUGCUUCCCCUCGGUGCUAUGUGAUUCUCUGACAUCAGUGCAGAUAUAUUCAGCCUUGACAUGCGAUCCUGGCUGGCAUGAAAACGAAGGCGAAGAUGAGUGAGCUCACAAGCGGGCCAUGGCUGUGCUGAAGACUAAAUGGUGUCUGCAACAGGUGCUCCUCGGAACCAGGGUCAGAAAGGACUGCUUCCUCUGUUUAAAAAAAUGGCUAAGUAACUUUUACACGUAGAAACUACGAAAUUGAUGCAUGUGUGACUAGGAAAUUAUAGGAAAUUAUAUUCAAUAAUAAGGUGCAGUCACAGUUUUCCCUCGGUUCCUUCUAUUUCUAUCUCUGUGUAUGCACAUUUUGGUGUAGGCUUGGGCAUGAGGUCAGUGCCACCAUCAAUGUGGGGGGAGCAGCCUCGAGAACUGGUCCUUGCUUCCCACAUGUUUGACAGAGGCUUUCCUGUUGUUCUCUGCUGUACAUGUUGGACAAGCUGGUCCAGGAGCCUUAGGAUACUGUCCUGUGUCUGCCUCCCAUCCUCCACAGGAACACGGCAUGAUUACAGACGCUUUGAUGCUCAGACUGUCGGGCACGAAUGGCAAACAUUUACCCUCUGAGCUGGAUCCCCAGCCUGGCAAACACUUGCCCACUGAGCCAUAUCGACAGCCUGAUUCCUUCUAUUUCCAGAUAUAAGGUGUCACGUGCCUAAGGCAUAUGUUCAGAGGUGGUGGGAUGAGUUGGUUUAACUCCUGAGAUUUUUUUCUAAUGGUUUUACACUCUGUAUAUUGCAAACUUUUAUAUUUUAAAGACAGAAUAUCUUCUUUAUUCUUGGAGAAUGAUUAAAUUUAACAGGCUGUCAGGCAAUUAACAAUAACAGCAGAAGUGAACAAUCAAACACUUCUUAUUUUUAACAUCAGAUUAUAAAGCAUCAUUGCUAUUAAAUAGUAACAAGAGACCAUUUGCAUCAAAGUUUAGUAACCCAAAGUUUUGUUUGUCCCACAUUUACAAAACAAAAACAAAAAAGCAUUUUUCUUAAUGUUUACUUCCAAUACUGGCUGUUCCUUUAAUAGUAACCAAGCUGGCUUAGUGAAAUAGUAGACAAAGUCAUGACAUCUAGACUACUUUUCUUGGUCCCUGUGACUCCCCUGCCGGCCCACCACUGACUCUAACCAGUGUGUGGCUGGGACUUCUACCUAGGAAACACUUGUCUGGGCCUUUUCUGGUUCUUGAAUUUUGAUAUUACUCAUUGCAAAGUAUUUUCUGCAGAGAAAGAAAUCAAAUAUGACAAAUUCAUUGUGUGGGAAAGUACUGUUGAAUUUACUUACUAGUUUGGCUCUAUCUAAUCUUUAAAAAUUUCUAUGAUAGGGAACUACGGUUAUUCCUCCUUCCUAUCUACUCUCUGGAAGUUCUGAUAUUUCUGCAUCACUCAUUGAAGUAAUAAAAAACCAAAACCCAGAAGAAACACCACCUCCAAUAGGUCAUGUUCCAGCUGUAGAAAUUACCAUGGUUACUUCUUACGCUGAUAGUAAACGAGAGUUGGCACUUAAAAGUACUGUGCUAUAUUACGUAUCUGCAUUGACAUGGACAUCAACAUCUCAAUAAUUCCAACAUUAUAAAUUAAUAUGGGAACCUGAAGAAAUGUGACUAUGAGACAAUUAGUCACUGUUGAAGAUAUUCUAAAGAGAUGAAAUGUAUGUAAAGGUUUUUGCGGCAGCAUGGUCUACUGAUGUUAAUGCCGAAUAUGGUUUUACUACAAAUACUGUUGAAUGGUUGCAGUCUUACUCCUGCUGUCCUCUUUAGGAAUGGACAGGAUAUCAGUACUUUGAGUGAACAUGAUUGAUUCAAUUAGGAACUGAUGAACAGAGAACAUGAGAAGUAUGGCUUCCCUAAAACACUCUUGUCUAAGAGUGGUAUCAGGGACUGAGGUGAUCUGAUCAGAAUCUACAGUUCUCUGCAGACCAGCUAUGUUAUUUUGUUCUUAGACUUCUCUUACUGCAGAAGAGACACAAGGACACUGUCUUCAUUAACACACUGGACAUGACAGGUGAGGUUUGUGACCGGUUCGCCUUGGCUAAAGCUGUCCCAAGCAAGACUCCAUCUAACACACAGUUCCUUUGUCAGUCACUGUUCAACCACCCCUCCUUCAGAAGGAGCUUUCGAGUUUCUUGGAAAUCACCCACAGACUGAGGCCAGUGCCACAUGCUGCGGCGCCGCUGAGAUCUGU
Long non-coding RNA from Peromyscus californicus insignis, 3188 nucleotides. RefSeq lists it as uncharacterized. The transcript is spliced from 7 exons. The record is from RefSeq and is a predicted model, not a curated record. Lineage: Eukaryota; Metazoa; Chordata; Mammalia; Rodentia; Cricetidae.